GGCGGCGUACCCAAGUGGCCUAAGGGGACGGAUUGCAAAUCCGUUAUCCGUGGGUUCGAAUCCCACCGCCGCCU
RNAcentral lists this transfer RNA (74 nucleotides) under Phycisphaerales bacterium. RNAcentral's name for it is "tRNA-Cys". It matches the Rfam family "tRNA". Rfam says of the family: Transfer RNA (tRNA) molecules are approximately 80 nucleotides in length. The record is from RNAcentral. Lineage: Bacteria; Pseudomonadati; Planctomycetota; Phycisphaerae; Phycisphaerales.